Armigeres subalbatus is the source of this 665-nucleotide long non-coding RNA. RefSeq lists it as uncharacterized. The record is from RefSeq and is a predicted model, not a curated record. The transcript is spliced from 3 exons. NCBI's taxonomy places the organism in Eukaryota, Metazoa, Arthropoda, Insecta, Diptera, Culicidae.
CUUUUUUUCUGUCAUCCGAAUUUCAACGGGUUUUGAUCCGGUACGUGUAUAUCCAAUCCUAUCGAGAGCGGAGGCAUCCACGCAGAAGCAAUGUUGUGCUGCGUUGUGUGUAGAAGAUGUUCCAGCCGAAGUCGGCCGAGAUUCUAUUGGUUCCAAUAUUAUUCACUUUUCUUCCUGUGUAUGCCGCAAUCUGCUACUGAUGCUGCUAGUGCUAAGCAAGGUAUGUGCAUGGCACAGUUAAACGCAGUAAUAGGGAAUGAAAUGCGGGCACUUUAUAAUGCACCUAGACGCAGCACAAGCAGACGACAACGACGACGACGCGGCGAUCCACUCUAUGUACCGAACAACCAACGCUACAUUCGAAACCGUACAACAUACUGAACAGAGGGAAUAGAGUGCGGCUUCAACAUUGCUAUUUCCAGCCGGUGCUACGCUUGCUUGUGUUGUGUUUGGGUUUUCAUCGUUGUUUUACACGCGGUAGGUCGAGUGGCAUUAUAAAAUGAAAAAGGAUAUUUUCUGCCGCCGCAAGCAUAAAUAUCCAAUAUUGACAUGUAUUCCAUAUAAAUAUAGGACUGUUGUGCUUGCGGCGGAAUUUUAGCACCUUCGUCAAUCAUUGGUUUAUUGCUCAUGUAAAAAGUGUUUCAAUAAAUCAAGCUUAAAACAAC